GAUGAACGCUGGCGGCGUGCCUAACACAUGCAAGUCGAACGGAGUCCAGCCUUUAAGACCUUCGGGUCAAAGAGGGGAAGACUGAGUGGCGGACGGGUGAGUAACACGUGGGCAACCUGGCUCAUAGAGGGGGAUAACAGAGAGAAAUUUCUGCUAGUACCGCAUAAGCACACACUGCCGCAUGGCAGAGGGUGAAAAGAGAAUCGCUAUGAGAUGGACCCGCGUCUGAUUAGCCAGUUGGCAGGGUAAGAGCCUACCAAAGCGACGAUCAGUAGCCGAUCUGAGAGGAUGAACGGCCACAUUGGGACUGAGACACGGCCCAAACUCCUACGGGAGGCAGCAGUGGGGGAUAUUGCACAAUGGGGGGAACCCUGAUGCAGCGACGCCGCGUGAGUGAAGAAGUAUUUCGGUAUGUAAAGCUCUAUCAGCAGGGAAGAUAAUGACAGUACCUGAAGAAGAAGCCCCGGCUAACUACGUG
RNAcentral lists this ribosomal RNA (478 nucleotides) under uncultured bacterium. Its description in RNAcentral is "partial 16S ribosomal RNA". It matches the Rfam family "Bacterial small subunit ribosomal RNA", at positions 28 to 507 of the family's 1533-position model. The record is from RNAcentral.